Molecule: long non-coding RNA, 487 nt
Organism: Zalophus californianus (California sea lion)
Lineage: Eukaryota; Metazoa; Chordata; Mammalia; Carnivora; Otariidae
Exons: 3
Source: RefSeq, a predicted model, not a curated record
UCGGCCUCAAAGAGCGGAACAAAUCCCACGGGGGCGUUGAUUGAAACCAUUACGGAUUCGGGGAGACAACACGCCGGCUGGGAACGGAGUCUGCCGCUGCUGCCUAUUUCCAUAAGGGAUUACCAUGUAAUUGAGAGGGGAAGACCGCUAAUGGCAGAAGCAAAGGCCAGCUCAGCCCCCACAGUCUUGGCUCCGUGGCAGAGCUGAGAUGCUGAAGCAGAAUCGUUCCUGAGAGACUCUGGAAGGAAAAGUUAACCGGCACAAAGCCCAGAGAGUGGACCCAAGGAGAAGUGGCAGAGAAUUCGUUUGGGAUCCGCCACCUGCCUGAGGGGACUGCAGUUUCUAGCACCUGGACGUCAUCUGGCUCCCCAGGGCGGGAAAGAAGCAGCUGAGAUUGGAAGUGAGGCUGGGGGCAGAAGGGAGCCUGGGGCAGCACGACCACCAGGAGUCAUGGUGGCAGCAAACAUCCACGCCUGUCCGCGGUGCU